CCUACGGGAGGCAGCAGUGAGGAAUAUUGGUCAAUGGACGAGAGUCUGAACCAGCCAAGUAGCGUGAAGGAUGACUGCCCUAUGGGUUGUAAACUUCUUUUAUAUGGGAAUAAAACGUUCCACGUGUGGGAUUUUGUAUGUACCAUAUGAAUAAGGAUCGGCUAACUCCGUGCCAGCAGCCGCGGUAAUACGGAGGAUCCGAGCGUUAUCCGGAUUUAUUGGGUUUAAAGGGAGCGUAGGUGGAUUGUUAAGUCAGUUGUGAAAGUUUGCGGCUCAACCGUAAAAUUGCAGUUGAAACUGGCAGUCUUGAGUACAGUAGAGGUGGGCGGAAGUCGUGGUGUAGCGGUGAAAUGCUUAGAUAGCACGAAGAACUCCGAUUGCGAAGGCAGUUCACUGGACUGCAACUGACACUGAGGCUCGAAAGUGUGGGUAUCAAACAGGAUUAGAUACCCGGGUAGUC
This 460-nucleotide ribosomal RNA is filed under the name uncultured bacterium. RNAcentral describes it as "partial 16S ribosomal RNA". It matches the Rfam family "Bacterial small subunit ribosomal RNA", at positions 338 to 795 of the family's 1533-position model. The record is from RNAcentral.